UGGCCGCAUUCUGCACCUGUGAUGGGGCAACCUUGGUUGUGUGUAUGGACUGGGAACGAGAGGUUGGAGAGCAGCAUUGUGAAAAACGAU
Chiroxiphia lanceolata (lance-tailed manakin) is the source of this 90-nucleotide long non-coding RNA. RefSeq lists it as uncharacterized. The transcript is spliced from 3 exons. The record is from RefSeq and is a predicted model, not a curated record. NCBI's taxonomy places the organism in Eukaryota, Metazoa, Chordata, Aves, Passeriformes, Pipridae.